This 327-nucleotide ribosomal RNA is filed under the name uncultured eukaryote. RNAcentral's name for it is "partial 18S ribosomal RNA". It matches the Rfam family "Eukaryotic small subunit ribosomal RNA", at positions 1470 to 1796 of the family's 1831-position model. The record is from RNAcentral.
UCCUUAGAUGUUCUGGGCCGCACGCGCGCUACACUGACGAAUGCAACGAGCUUAUAACCUUGGCCGAAAGGUCUGGGUAAUCUCCAAAUUUCGUCGUGAUGGGGAUAGAUUAUUGCAAUUAUUAAUCUUCAACGAGGAAUGCCUAGUAAGCGCAAGUCAUCAGCUUGCGUUGAUUACGUCCCUGCCCUUUGUACACACCGCCCGUCGCUCCUACCGAUUGAAUGGUCCGGUGAAGCGUUCGGACCGUGGCCUUUGGACGGUUCGCCGUCUGUUGGCUGCGGGAAGUUCGUUAAACCUUAUCAUUUAGAGGAAGGAGAAGUCGUAACA